AGGUGUGAUCAUAUCAGUGUUAAUGCAUGAGAUCCCAUCAGAACUAUGCAGUUAAGCAUGCUUGGGAUAGAGUAGUAUUGGUAUGGGUGACCUCUCAGAAAUUCCUAGUGUUGCACCCU
Molecule: non-coding RNA, 119 nt
Organism: Picea glauca (white spruce)
Lineage: Eukaryota; Viridiplantae; Streptophyta; Pinopsida; Pinales; Pinaceae
Source: Rfam